CCUACGGGAGACAGCAGUGGGGAAUAUUGGGCAAUGGGCGAAAGACUGAACCAGCAAUGCCGCGUGAAUGAAGAAGGUCUUAAGAUUGUAAAAUUCUGUCCUAUGGGAAACAAAAAAUGACGGUCCCAUCGGAAGAAGCCCAGGCAAACUACGUGCCAGCAGCCGUGGUAAUACGUAGGGGGCGGGAGUUGUGCGGAAUUAAUGGGCGUAAAGAUUGCGUAGGCGGCACUACAAGUCUCAUGUGAAAUACCCGGGCUUAACUUGGGGGUUGCAUGGGAAACUGUAGGGCUUGAGUACAGGAGAGGCAAGCGGAAUGCCGAGUGUAGCGGUGAAAUGCAUAGAUAUUAGGAGGAACACCAGUGGCGAAGGCGGCAUGCUGGACUGAAACUGACGCUGAGGCUCGAAAGCGUGGGGAGCAAACAGGAUUAGAUACCCGGGUAGUC
RNAcentral lists this ribosomal RNA (443 nucleotides) under uncultured bacterium. RNAcentral describes it as "partial 16S ribosomal RNA". It matches the Rfam family "Bacterial small subunit ribosomal RNA", at positions 338 to 795 of the family's 1533-position model. The record is from RNAcentral.